Molecule: unclassified non-coding RNA, 853 nt
Filed under: Haliotis rubra (blacklip abalone)
Lineage: Eukaryota; Metazoa; Mollusca; Gastropoda; Lepetellida; Haliotidae
Description: uncharacterized LOC124269977, transcript variant X2
Source: RNAcentral
CCCGACGCUCAGACCACAGUGACCCUAGAGUCCUACUGCAGGAGAAACAACCAUGGCUGACCUGUCGAGCACAUCUAUUUGGGUUAAAGUGUGUCUAAUCCUCAUUCCUUUGGGCGGAUUGCUCCAUUUAAUAGGUUACGCAUCACCAUAUUGGGUCAAAGUAGGAAUAGACCACAGUGGACUCUGGCGAACUUGUACUACAAUCUGCGUUGAUUAUCUAGACUAUCAAGAAUCGCUGGCGGGCUGGUUACGCGCGACCCAGUUCUUUGAGACAGUCGGGUUGAUCGCCAUUGCCGCAGCAGCUGUCCUUCUGUUCCUGUCAAUCUUCGUGCAGGCGUUCAAGGACAAGAAGAUCAUCACAAUCAUCAACGCCUUAGCCUGCUUCGGUGCAUGUGGAACAAUCAUCAUCGGUGCGAUCAUCUACGGCAGUCGGUAUCUCGUGGUAGACUACCUUAGCUGGGCUUUCGCGCUGUGCAUUGUGGGGGCAAUAAUGGAGGGCGUGGCAGGCGCGUUAAUCAUAGUGGGAACGUUCGCUGCCAGAAGAACAUAAGCGAUAAGACCAGCCGGAGAAGUCUAAAAGUUAUAUGUCAAAAUGAUAGAGAGGAACAUUUCAUGCCUUUGUGUUAAAGGAUAUGUGGAUAAAACAACGUGUGACUGGGAAUACGUUUAACUCUAAUAUCAAGUGUUCUGUAAAAUGUACAGUUGACUAGGAGUUACGGCAGUUUUAUGGCAUGUUUCUUGUAGACAUUUACCGGCCGAGAGCCUGCCCCGAACACAACAUUGUAUCUGUAUUUGUAUUUGUAUUUGAAGUAGUAGUAGUCGUAGUAGUGGUAGAAGUGGUAGAAAAUAGAGA